RNAcentral lists this ribosomal RNA (396 nucleotides) under uncultured bacterium. RNAcentral's name for it is "bacterial SSU rRNA". It matches the Rfam family "Bacterial small subunit ribosomal RNA", at positions 29 to 414 of the family's 1533-position model. The record is from RNAcentral.
AACGAACGCUAGCGGUGUGGAUUAGGCAUGCAAGUCGCGCGCGAAAGCCUUCGGGCGAGUAAAGCGGCGAAAGGGUGAGUAACACGUAACCAACGUACCCCUCAGACUGGGAGUAACCAACUGGAAACGGUAGGAUAAUACCGGAUGGUCCACUGGGCGAGCAUUGCCUGGCUGGUAAACGGCGGCCGCAAGGCGGUUGCUGAGGGAGCGGGUUGCGGCCUAUCAGCUUGUUGGUGAGGUAACGGCUCACCAAGGCUAUGACGGGUAACAGGCCUGAGAGGAUGAUCUGUCACACUGGGACUGAGACACUGCCCAGACUCCUACGGGAGGCUGCAGUCGAGAAUCUUCCACAAUGGGCGAAAGCCUGAUGGAGCGACACCGCGUGCAGGAUGAAGG